Molecule: long non-coding RNA, 4359 nt
Filed under: Brassica napus (rape)
Lineage: Eukaryota; Viridiplantae; Streptophyta; Magnoliopsida; Brassicales; Brassicaceae
Description: long non-coding RNA (BNAP_LNC013876)
Rfam family: MIR9563 microRNA precursor family (bases 2804-2928)
Source: RNAcentral
CAGUCUCUACGUCCCACAGCUUUAGGGUUUUGUCAUCGGAAGCUGAGGCGAUGAACCUCGCGUCUGUCGAGAAGGCCACGUCGGAGAUGCCGGAGUCGUGGCCCGUGAAGACUUGUGCGGGCUCGGCGAUGGGAUCUCCCUUGAGGUUGAUGGCGUAAGUGCGGAUCGUCUGGUCCCCGGAGGCCGAAGCCAGGAGGCGGCCAUCGGAGGAGAAUUUAACGGAGGAUAGGGCGUGACCGUGGGAAUUUAGGGUUUGGCAGUGAACGUAUGGGAUCCUAGAACUCGAAUCCUUUUUCUUUUUUUUUGAUCAACUGAACUCGAAUCCUAAAAUCCUAUUUUUUUUCUUUUUUUAAAAAACAAUAUAAAUACAAAAAUAAGAAUAUUCAAUAAAGAUUUUAAAUUGAAAUUAUAAAAUAUAAAAUAUAUCUAUUAUAUUUUACUUAAUAUUAUAAAAUGUUAAAAUAAAAAUAUUUUCUAUAAUUUUAAAAAUUCAAAACUAUAACUUUCUAAAUAUAAUUUUUAUAUUUAUUAUAAUAUUAUGAUUUUUUGAUAUUUUUAUAAUUAUAUAAAAUAUAAAUAUUGUUAAUUUAUUAUUUAACCUCUACUACAUUUGGUAGUUAACCAGUCAUAAGUAUCCCGUAAACGCAUCAAUUUCUAACCACAGAACCAGUCGUACAAAUCUCUAAAAACCGCUAGAAAGCGCAACCAUCCGCAUCUGAAAAUCCCGCAACCGCUGCGUUUGAACCAGUCAGGCCCUUAAUCUAACAAGGUUACUACUCAGAAAUAAUCAAAAAAACACAAAGAUAAACUGAAUGAAUUGCAUGAUAGAUUAGAGAUAGAUAAACCGGAGUUCCAAUACAAUACAUUGAAUGAGUUCAUGAUCUUCUCUCCAAAACUUUAAGCUGCUAAAACCCCAAUAUAUUGUCUGUGUUUUUUUUGCCUGAGCAGUGGCACAAAAUAUAUAUCUAGGUAAAACCUCGCCAUGGGGCAUUGUUGUAAUGUGGACAGGGAUGUAGUUCAUCCUACCUUGAUAUCAAUUUAACAGUUCCCUUCAGAAAAUAUGACUUUAUUUACAGAAGGUUAAAAGCAUUAAAGGUUUAGUUGAAGGUUUAAAAACAUAAAGUUUUAGUUGGGGGUUUUCUAUCCGAUUUAUAAAUAGUUGGAGGUUUAAAUCACUAAAAUAUCUAUUGAUUAUAAGAACCUCAUGUCGUUUUGGGAUCACAUGAAACGCUGCGUUUAGAUUUAACGGGUCUCAGUUAAAAAAAACGAUUUUGUUAACGGAAGGUUUACGUUGUUAACGGAAGGUUUACGGCAUUAACGGUUUAAUAGUUGAAAGUUUAAAAACAUAAAAUUUUAGUUGAGAGUUUUUUAUCCGAUUUGAAAAUAGUUGGAGGUAUAAAUUACUAAUAACCCUUUCAAAAUUGAUAAAACAAACAUAAAAACCACUGCAUCUAACCAAAAUUUCCAAGCAGUGAGGCUUUAACAUACUGUGGUAACUGAAUGUUAACCAUAAAACUCUGAAUACUCUGGAGUUCACUGUUAUAGGUGGUUUUGAACCCCAUGACUUCACCACAAUAUCUAAUAUGAAACUGUGAAUAAGUAAAUCAUUCCAUCGUCAAACCAAUGAAUUUAAUCUAACCAAUAUGGAGUGAAACUGUGAAUAAAUAAAACAUUCCCAUCGUCAAACCUAUGCAUAAAAUUCAUACAAUAUGGAGGAAAAUUUUAAAAACUGACCUGGAAAGUAGGUGUUUGUGUUGGCGAGUAACAUCAUCUCAUCAUAACUGCCUUCAACUCAGAAAGAAGCAGUUGAGGAUUUGCCAUGAUUGUAACCUUCCUUGCAAAUUCUUAGGUAUAAUUGAACACUGCGAGACGACAAGAUGCACAAAGGCGGAGAUGGUAAUAGCUAUGAGAUUCAGGUGUACUCUGCAUCCCUAUUUAUAGUAUUAGUAUAGAAAUUGGGACUAACAGAGGAGUUCUGUGAGACUAAUUAAUGAAUACUUAGUUGAGAUCCAUGAUUGAAGGACAUAAUGGUUUUAAAUAACCGAGAAGCUGUUCCGAAUGGAGGAUUCGUAAAGCUUGACAGAGAAAAUGUAGAUGAGAAGACGAUGAAGGCCAGAGGUUAAAGAAGGAGGUUCUGAACAGAUUAUGAGGUUGAGACGUUACUGUGAGUUCAUUGUCGAUUUAGUUUUCUGGAAAAAUUGACUGUCAGCUACGAAGGUCGUCGAAGGCAAGAAACCCCCAAGUUCCAAUGGGCUUAACAAAAUGAUGUAUAAAAGCCCAAACGAAAGUUCAAUCUAAACAGCAAAACAUACGCUCAGCCCAAGAUAAGUUUACAAAGACAUCAAUAGUGAAAUUUUUUAGCUGCCACGUGUCCAAAAACGCUCAUAGAUGAGUGAUGACGUGGCAGCCUAUGGAGAGAGAAUAGACAAUUUUAUUAUUAUAGAUAUCAUACAUCUACUACGCAUCAAAGCGAAUGUUUGACAUUUAAAAAAAUAGUGGAUGUUUGACAUUUAAAAAAAUAAUCUUUGUAAUUCAAUUUGUUUUCCUACGAAUAGUUUGUUUUACUAUUUGAUUUGCCUCGAAACUUUACAGCUAUCCAAUAUUUUCGAAUCGAAUCAAAUCAAGAUGAAGAACAAAUCAAAUUUAACCGGUAAUAUAUUCUCAGCCUAACCAAAACAACUACCAUACAUUAUCUACGUAUAGUACUCUGGCCAUAAGCUCGUAUGAACAGUUAUUAUCCUUGAAAUAAUUUUAGAAACUAAGAGCAUGAUUAACCCGGGGUUCUUAGGAUGGAGUUCUUAGCGGAAGUUAAGAAACUGUUUCUUAACUUUUAACUUAAAAAGUUAAGAACCAGUUUUUAAAUAAUGACUUUAAGAACCGGUUUUUAGCUUUUUUAGUUAAAAGUUAAGAAACAGUUUCUUAACUUCCGUUAAAAACCUCACUCUAAGAAUCCCUAGUCAAUCAUGGUCUAAUAACAUUUGUGGGAGCACAAAGAAACUGGACAAACAGAUUGAUAAAUAAAAUGAAUUGAAAAGGGAAACCCAGUAACUAAGAAGAUCUGUGCUCACUUUCCAAAUAAAUUUCCUUUGCCAUAAGACAAACCUAAAUAGUCGAGAGUAGAAUCAUUCUAACAAGGCUCAACUAAGAAAGUGAGCACUACAUGAUUACAACAUGAAGGGAAAGUGCAUUUACAUGAAUCAUUAAUUCUCCUGUGCCCAAAUUCUUAUAGACUUGUCGAGCGAGCCUGAUGCGAUCAAGUUCUCUGUGGGGUGGCAAGCCACGCUCAUGACAGGCUCAGUAUGACCCUCAAGUUUCUGAAGCAAUUUCCUGGAGUUCAGCUCCCACAUGUAUACACAAUUGUCCUCGGAUCCACUGACUAUUCGCUUUCCAUUUGUGACGGAGAACGCAGAGGAGACGGAGUACUGAGAGUUGGCGUGGCCAGUGUAUGUUUUGAUGUAUUUAGCAGAAGAAAUGUUCCACAACCUCUGCAAAAUUUGAGAACACGGUGGAGAGAUCAGUGCGUUGAUAACGAAUCAUGAGGAUUUACAUCUUCUAUUGAUGCAAACAAAAAUCAAAUACCAAAAGAUGUAUCUCCCAAACUUAGACUCUUUAAAGCUAGCAGAGAGAUAAGCUUACCAACGAAAACAAACAAUGUUGCAAACUUAGUUUUGGAUGAAACACAGAUAUCACUCAGGAAGGGACUCACCAGGGUGUUAUCGAGAGUGCCAACGAGGAUGAACUUGCCGUUGGGAGAGAACCUAACGAAGGAAACAGGAGGAUUCUCAUCGUCCAUCAGCGUUUUCACACAAUGCCCCGUCCCUGAAUCCCAUAUCCGGCACAACCCAUCGUAGCUACUCGAAACGAUAAGAGACCCGUCGCGAUUGAAAUCCACGGCGGUGACUGGAUCGGAAUGCGCCGGAAGAACUUUCAGGCACUUUCCGGUCGUUACAUCCCAGAUCCGAACAGUUUCGUCGAAGGAGCCGGAUGCAAUCAUGUUUGACUGUGGGUUGAAGUUGACGCAGAAGACGUAGUUAGUGUGCCCGUGAAGCGUUUUGAUCAGUGAACCAGUCUCUACGUCCCACAGCUUUAGGGUUUUGUCAUCGGAAGCUGAGGCGAUGAACCUCGCGUCUGUCGAGAAGGCCACGUCGGAGAUGCCGGAGUCGUGGCCCGUGAAGACUUGUGCGGGCUCGGCGAUGGGAUCUCCCUUGAGGUUGAUGGCGUAAGUGCGGAUCGUCUGGUCCCCGGAGGCCGAAGCCAGGAGGCGGCCAUCGGAGGAGAAUUUAACGGAGGAUAGGGCGUGACCGUGGGAAUUUAGGGUUUGGCAGUGAACGUAUGGGAUGUAAGCUGCUUCUUCUGCCA